This is a ribosomal RNA of Corynebacterium epidermidicanis, 117 nucleotides long. NCBI's taxonomy places the organism in Bacteria, Bacillati, Actinomycetota, Actinomycetes, Mycobacteriales, Corynebacteriaceae. The record is from Rfam.
GUCGGUGGCAACAGCGGUGGGGUAACGCCCGGUCCCAUUCCGAACCCGGAAGCUAAGCCCACCAGCGCCGAUGGUACUGCACCCGGGAGGGUGUGGGAGAGUAGGUCACCGCCGACC